GACGAACGCUGGCGGCGUGCCUAAUACAUGCCAGUAGAACGCUGACGUCGGAGCUUGCUUCUCUGGAUGAGUUGCGAACGGGUGAGUAACGCGUAGGUAACCUGUCUGGUAGCGGGGGAUAACUUUUGGAAACGAUAGCUAAUACCGCAUAAGAGUAGAUGUUGCAUGAUAUUUGCUUAAAAGGUGCAAUUGCUUCACUACUAGAUGGCCCUCCGUUGUAUUAGCUAGUUGGUGGGGUAACGGCUCACCAAGGCGACGAUACAUAGCCGACCUGAGAGGGUGAUAGGCCAAGCUGGGACGGGGACACGGCCCAGCAUCCUACGAGAGGCAGCAGUAGGGGAUCUUCGGCAAUGGACGGAAGGCUGAACGAGCAACGCCGCGUGAGUGAAGAAGGUUGUCGGGUCGUGAAGCUCUGUUAUGAGAGAAGAACGAGAGUGAGAGUGGAAAGUGCACACUGUGACGGUAUCUUAACAGAAAGGGACGGCUAACUACGUG
This 495-nucleotide ribosomal RNA is filed under the name uncultured bacterium. Its description in RNAcentral is "partial 16S ribosomal RNA". It matches the Rfam family "Bacterial small subunit ribosomal RNA", at positions 28 to 507 of the family's 1533-position model. The record is from RNAcentral.